RNAcentral lists this ribosomal RNA (164 nucleotides) under Comarum palustre. Its description in RNAcentral is "5.8S ribosomal RNA". It matches the Rfam family "5.8S ribosomal RNA". Rfam says of the family: 5.8S ribosomal RNA (5.8S rRNA) is a component of the large subunit of the eukaryotic ribosome. It is transcribed by RNA polymerase I as part of the 45S precursor that also contains 18S and 28S rRNA. Lineage: Eukaryota; Viridiplantae; Streptophyta; Magnoliopsida; Rosales; Rosaceae. The record is from RNAcentral.
UAAACGACUCUCGACAACGGAUAUCUCGGCUCUCGCAUCGAUGAAGAACGUAGCGAAAUGCGAUACUUGGUGUGAAUUGCAGAAUCCCGUGAACCAUCGAGUUUUUGAACGCAAGUUGCGCCCGAAGCCGUUAGGCCAAGGGCACGUCUGCCUGGGCGUCACAU